CCUACGGGUGGCAGCAGUGGGGAAUAUUGGGCAAUGGGCGCAAGCCUGACCCAGCAACGCCGCGUGAAGGAAGAAGGCUUUCGGGUUGUAAACUUCUUUUGUCGGGGAACAAAGGGCGCCACGUGUGGCGUUGUGAGUGUACCCGAAGAAAAAGCAUCGGCUAACUCCGUGCCAGCAGCCGCGGUAAUACGGAGGAUGCGAGCGUUAUCCGGAUUUAUUGGGUUUAAAGGGUGCGUAGGCGGUCCGGAAAGUCAGCGGUAAAAGCCCGGGGCUCAACCCCGGCGAGCCGUUGAAACUGUCGGACUAGAGACGGCGAGAAGUACGCGGAAUGCGCGGUGUAGCGGUGAAAUGCAUAGAUAUCGCGCAGAACUCCGAUUGCGAAGGCAGCGUACCGGCGCCGGACUGACGCUGAGGCACGAAAGCGUGGGUAUCGAACAGGAUUAGAUACCCGAGUAGUC
RNAcentral lists this ribosomal RNA (458 nucleotides) under uncultured bacterium. Its description in RNAcentral is "partial 16S ribosomal RNA". It matches the Rfam family "Bacterial small subunit ribosomal RNA", at positions 338 to 795 of the family's 1533-position model. The record is from RNAcentral.